UAGAAAGAGACCCUCUAAAACAUUAAAAUGUAUGACUGGCACACGAAACCUUAAAUUAGAGUGAAUCGAUGAAGACUCGGCCCACCACUUCUGAAAGGUUGCCAACCCCUGCGUUAUACCCUAUAGAAUCUCCCUCCCUCACCUUGAUAGCGUCCCUUAUAGAGCCACCCCAUAGAGUCCCCCUCCCUCACUUGGGUGGCAUCCCUUAUAGAGCCCUGCCCAAACACACACAUCACACCCUGUAGAGUCCCUCAACCUGGUGUCUCACAAUUUAGGGCCCCACAACAGUGCUGUCCUCUGACUUGGAAGGCAGAGAUUUUAAUCAGUAAGUGCCCCCAAAAGUCAUGAGAUGUGUGACCCAUGAGUUUUGAACUUUUGGAGCUGGCCAUAUUGUUGAUGCAACAAUUUAUAUAUUCUCCUGUCUAGAGCUUUUCGAAAAAGGUGUGGUUCAUGCCAUACCGCUGCCCAGAUCACUCCUGCAAUAACCAGCAGACCCCUCGUCUUUUCUCUCACUGAAAACCCAGAGUUAGGACCAGCAAAAACCUAAAGUAGAACCCCUUUUGGAUGAAGUCCAGUGGAAUGAAUUUGAUCAGCCCACUGUUAGGAAGAACUGUAUCUCCUUUCUCAAGAUAUCCUUGUGAGAAGGGUCCCUGAAGGAGGACAAGGUGGGGCACAAGAGGGUGUUAAGGAGGUGAACUGAAUGGAAAAGACUGUGGAAACCACCUCCAGAAUCCAUCUCUCUGAGGUGAUGAGCUCCCAGGAAGGUAUAAAAUGGGAAAGACAAUUCCCAUAAGUGUGGAUGUCGGGGAGGUGCAGCAUAGAAUCUGAAGCAGAAGCUGUAUAAAUGCCCAGAGAUCAUAGUGUCACCUGAGAGUCUUUGAGAGAAUGGAGAGACCCAUCUGUGGUGUCAGUAAACAACUUGGGUUCUGCAAAAGGAAGAUCUUUGACAGUAUUUUGGACCUCCUGGGAGAAACCAGAGGACUGCACCCAAGAAGCUAGGUGCAUGAGUACUGCCAUAGCCAUGGGAUGCAUAGCCCUGGUGAAAUUGUUUUCUCUGAUCCUGAGGCAAGAGUUCAGUAAAGGCUAAGAACUUGGAAUAAUUUGUGAAGACACACUUCGCCAUCAGUGCUUGGUAAUUGGCUACUCUGAAUCGCAAAGAAGCCAAGGAGUAGCUCUUGUGAUCAAGAAGGUCCAGUUGCUUCAGCUCUUUGUCAGAUGGUGCUGAAUGGAAUCUGUGCUGUGUGUUCCUCUUAUCUGCAGCCUCAACAACCAGAUUGUUGUAUGUAGCCUACGAGAAAAAAUAUUCUGAGCCUCUGGGUGGAACACAGUAUUUUUUGUCAGCCCAUUUGCAUGUAGGCAGGAUAGUAGCUGGAGUUUGCCAUACCGGGCAUGCUAGAGCUAACAAUGUCAUUGAUGGGAAAGGCAAUCCUGGCCGGGGGGAGAUGUCUGAUGAAUAUCCACCAGGGAGCGUUGCAGUUCCUGUAUCUCCGCCAACAGAAUUUGUAAACUGUCCACUGUACAUUUCCUCAGGUCUUGAAAGGCCUUGAAAUCAUCAGGGUAAGAUGGUGGAAGAGACAUGAUCUCCACCUCCAUCUGGUGAAAAGAAGGACUUGUGGGAGGAAGGUGUUUCUUCCUCAUCAGCUGAUUCCUCCUACACAGUGAAAUGCACCGGACGGACAAGGCUUG
Molecule: long non-coding RNA, 1686 nt
Organism: Mauremys reevesii (Reeves's turtle)
Lineage: Eukaryota; Metazoa; Chordata; Testudines; Geoemydidae
Exons: 5
Source: RefSeq, a predicted model, not a curated record